AAUUUAUAAUAUCUCUGUCCCAAGACAGCACGUGGUGCGCCAAGUCGAACCAUAAUUCGUGCCGAGGCAAAAGCGUAUAUAAGUAUCUUGUAUAUAGGCGCCUCGAAGGCGCUUUUUUAAUGCAAAC
Non-coding RNA from Candidatus Woesebacteria bacterium RBG_13_46_13, 127 nucleotides. The record is from Rfam. Lineage: Bacteria; Candidatus Woeseibacteriota.